RNAcentral lists this ribosomal RNA (2905 nucleotides) under Candidatus Profftella armatura. RNAcentral describes it as "bacterial LSU rRNA". It matches the Rfam family "Bacterial large subunit ribosomal RNA". Lineage: Bacteria; Pseudomonadati; Pseudomonadota; Betaproteobacteria. The record is from RNAcentral.
GUUAUAGGGACAAGUAAAUAAGUGCACAUGGUGAAUGCCUUGGCGAUUACAGGCGAUGAAGGACGUAGUAGCUUGCGAUAAGCUGCGGUGAGCUGGGCAGACUUGCUUUGAUCCGCAGAUUUCCGAAUGGGAAAACCCAUCUUUAUUUAUAAAGAUAUUACAUAUUGAAUAUAUAAAUAUGUAAAGCUAACGUAGCGAACUAAAACAUUUAAGUAGCUAUAGGAAAAGAAAUCAACAGAGAUUCCCAAAGUAGUGGCGAGCGAAAUGGGAGAAGCUUGCAAAAUUUAAUAUUAUUAAUAGUAGAAAGCUAUGGAAAGAGCUGCCAUAGAAGGUGAUAGCCCAUUAUAUUAAAUUUAUAAUAUGGAACUAAGUUUGCAAAAAAGUAAGACGAGACACGUGUAAUCUUGUCUGAAUAAGGGGGGACCAUCCUCCAAAGCUAAAUACUCGUAAUCGACCGAUAGUGAAUUAGUACCGUGAGGGAAAGGUGAAAAGAACCCCGGGAGGGGAGUGAAAUAGAUUCUGAAACCAUGUGCAUACAAACAGUAGGAGCAGAUUUAUUCUGUGACUGCGUACCUUUUGUAUAAUGGGUCAGCGACUUAUAUUCAGUGGCAAGCUUAACCGAAAAUAGGGGAGGCGCAGAGAAAUCGAGUCCGAACAGGGCGAAUUAGUCUCUGGAUAUAGACCCGAAACCAAGUGAUCUACUUAUGGCCAGAUUGAAGGUGCGGUAACACGUACUGGAGGAUCGAACCCACUAAUGUUGAAAAAUUAGGGGAUGAGCUGUGAGUAGGGGUGAAAGGCCAAACAAACUUGGAAAUAGCUGGUUCUCUCCGAAAACUAUUUAGGUAGUGCCUUAAGUAUUACCAUUGGGGGUAGAGCACUGUUAUGGCUAGGGGGUUAUCAUGACUUACUAAACCAUUGCAAACUACGAAUACCAAUGAGUAUUAGCUUAGGAGACAGACGCCGGGUGCUAACGUCCGACGUCAAGAGGGAAACAACCCAGACCGCCAGCUAAGGUCCCUAAGAUUGGCUAAGUGGAAAACGAAGUGGGAAGGCUAAGACAGUCAGGAAGUUGGCUUAGAAGCAGCCAUCUUUUAAAGAAAGCGUAAUAGCUCACUGAUCAAGUCGUCCUGCGCGGAAAAUGUAACGGGGCUAAGCCAAUCACCGAAGCUGCGGAUAUCAAUUUAGUUGAUAUGGUAGGAGAGCGUUCUGUAAAUCUGCGAAGGUAUUUUGUAAAAAAUACUGGAGAUAUCAGAAGUGCGAAUGCUGACAUGAGUAACGAUAAUGAAGGUGAAAAACCUUCACGCCGUAAGCCUAAGGUUUCCUGUUCAACGUUAAUCGGAGCAGGGUUAGUCGGCCCCUAAGGUGAGGCAGAAAUGCGUAGUCGAUGGGAAUAAGGUUAAUAUUCCUUUACCUAUUUUAGGUGCGAAGGGGGGACGAAUUAUUAAAGAUUGUCCAGGUGUUGGAAGUCCUGGUAUCUAUAUUGUAGAAGGUUAUUAGGAAAAUCCGGUAACAUAAUUCAAGGGUAUGGAUCAAGUGAUAUUUUUUCAUAAAGCAAUCGGAAGUAGUUCCAAGAAAAGCCUCUAAGCUUAAGUCUAAAAAGACCGUACUAUAAACCGACACAGGUGGGCGAGAUGAAUAUUCUAAGGCGCUUGAGAGAACUCGAGAGAAGGAACUCGGCAAAUUUGUACCGUAACUUCGGAAUAAGGUACACCUUAUUAUUUGACUAGUUUAACACUAGAAGGAUGAAAAGGUUGCAAUAAAAUGGUGGCUGCGACUGUUUAAUAAAAACACAGCACUAUGCAAACAUGAAAAUGGACGUAUAUGGUGUGACUCCUGCCCGGUGCUGGAAGAUUAAAUGAUGGAGUGCAAGCUCUUGAUUGAAGUCCCAGUAAACGGCGGCCGUAACUAUAACGGUCCUAAGGUAGCGAAAUUCCUUGUCGGGUAAGUUCCGACCUGCACGAAUGGAGUAACGAUGGCCACACUGUCUCCUCUCGAGACUCAGUGAAAUUGAAAUGUUUGUGAUGAUGCAAACUACCCGCGGCUAGACGGAAAGACCCCAUGAACCUUUACUGUAACUUUAUAUUGAAUUUUGAAUAAAACUGUGUAGGAUAGGUGGGAGACUAUGAAGUAUAAGCGCAAGCUUAUAUGGAGUCAUCCUUGAAAUACCACCCUGGUUUGUUUGAAAUUCUAACCUUAAACCGUUAUCCGGUUUGGGGACAAUGUAUGGUGGGCAGUUUGACUGGGGCGGUCUCCUCCUAAAGAGUAACGGAGGAGUUCUAAGGUACGCUAAGUACGGUCGGAAAUCGUACUAAUAGUGCAAUGGCAUAAGCGUGCUUAACUGCGAGACUGACAAGUCGAGCAGAUACGAAAGUAGGACAUAGUGAUCCGAUAGUUCUGUAUGGAAGGGCUAUCGCUCAACGAAUAAAAGGUACUCUGGGGAUAACAGGCUGAUUCCUCCCAAGAGUUCAUAUCGACGGAGGAGUUUGGCACCUCGAUGUCGGCUCAUCACAUCCUGGGGCUGUAGUAGGUCCCAAGGGUAUGGCUGUUCGCCAUUUAAAGUGGUACGUGAGCUGGGUUUAAAACGUCGUGAGACAGUUUGGUCCCUAUCUGCCGUGGGCGAUGGAAAUUUGAAAGGAGCUGCUCCUAGUACGAGAGGACCGGAGUGGACGAACCUCUGGUGCAUCGGUUGUCACGCCAGUGGCAUAGCCGAGUAGCUAAGUUCGGAAGAGAUAACCGCUGAAAGCAUCUAAGCGGGAAGCUUGCCUUAAGAUAAGAUUUCCCGGGAUUUAAAUUCCCCUGAAGGGUCGUUCAAGACUAGAACGUUGAUAGGUCAGAUGUGGAAGUACAGUAAUGUAUUGAGCUAACUGAUACUAAUUGCCCGUGAGACUUGUCCCUAUAACAUUAG